AGGAGAAAAUGCGUGUUUUUUGCUGAAAUGGGGCAUUUUCGAAGAGAAAAUGUUUGAUUUUCGCUUAAAUGCAUGAUGUUUUUUUGUUAAAUGGGGGAUUUUCGAAGAGAGAACGGGUGAUUUUCGCUUAAAUGUGUGAUUUUUUGGGAUAAUUGGGGGAUUUUUGAAGAGAAAAUGCACGAUUUACCCUUAAAUGGGGGAUUUUUGAGGAGAAAAUGCGUGAUUUUGGGGUAAAAAGGGGGAUUUUCGAGGAGAAAAGGGGUGAUGUUUGGGUUAAAUGGGGGAUUUUUGAAAAGAAAAGGGGUGAUUUUCACUUAAAUGUCGGAUUUUCGAAGAGAAAAUGGGUGAUUUUGGGGUUAAAUGGGGGAUUUUUGAAGAGAGAACGGGUGAUUUUUGCUUAAACGCGUUAUUUUUUAGCUAAAUGUUGGAUUUUCGAAGAGAAAAUGCAUGAUUUACCCUUAAAUGGCAGAUUUUCAGAAAUAAAAUGCAUGAUAUACCCUUAAAUGGGGGAUUUUCAAAGAGAAAAUGUUUGAUUUUCGCUUAAGUGCAUAGUUAUUUAGUUCAAUGGAGGAUUUUUGAGGAGAAAAUGCAUGAUUUACCCUUAAAUGGGGGGUUUUUGAGGAGAAAAUGUGUGAUUUUCCAAAUAAUUGGUGAUUUUUGAAGGGAAAAUGGGUGAUUUUCGGGUUAAAUGGGGGAUUUUCGAAGAGAAAACAAGUGAUUUUCGCUUAAAUGUGUGAUUUUUUGGGAUAAUUGGGGGAUUUUCGAAGAGAUAAUGCAUGAUUUACCCUUAAAUGGGGGAUUUUCGAGGAGAAAAUGCGUGAUUUUGGGGUAAAAAGGGGGAUUUUCGAGGAGAAAAGGGGUGAUUUUUGGGUUAAAUGGGGGAUUUUUGAAAAGAAAAGGGGUGAUUUUCACUUAAAUGUCGGAUUUUCGAAGAGAAAAUGGGUGAUUUUGGGGUAAAAUGGCGGAUUUUCGAAGAGAAAAUGCGUGAUUUUUGCUUAAAUGCAUGAUUUUUUUGUUACAUGGGGGAUUUUUGAGGAGAAAAUGCAUGAUUUACCCUUAAAUGGGGGGUUUUUGAGGAGAAAAUGCGUGAUUUUCCAAAUAAUUGGGGAUUUUUGAAGGGAAAAUGGGUGAUUUUCGGAUUAAAUGUGGGAAUUUUGAAGAGAAAAUGGGUGAUUUUGGGGUUAAAUGGGAGAUUUUCAAAGAGAAAACGGGUGAUUUUCGCUUAAAUGCGUGAUUUUUUAGCUAAAUGUUGGAUAUUCAACGAGAAAAUGCAUGAUUUACCCUUAAAUGGGGGAUUUUUGAGGAGAAAAUGUGUGAUUUUGGGGUAAAAUGGGAAGUUUUCGAAGAGAAAAGGGGUGAUUUUCACUUAAAUGGGGGAUUUUUGAAGAGAAAAGGGGUGAUUUUCACUUAAAGGUGGGAUUUUCGAAGAGAAAUGCGUGAUUUUGGGGUAAAAUGGGAAAUUUUCAAAGAGAAAACGGGUGAUUUCUGCUUAAAUGCGAGAUUUUUUAGCUAAAUGUUGGAUUUUCGAACAGAAAAUGCAUGAUUUACCCUUAAAUGGGGGGUUUUUGAGGAGAAAAUGCGUGAUUUUCCAAAUAAUUGGUGAUUUUUGAAGGGAAAAUGGGUGAUUUUCGGGUUAAAUGGGGGAUUUUCGAAGAGAAAACAAGUGAUUUUCGCUUAAAUGUGUGAUUUUUUGGAUAAUUGGGGGAUUUUCGAAGUGAAAAUGCAUGAUUUACCCUUAAAUGGGGGAUUUUUGAGGAGAAAAUGCGUGAUUUUGGGGUAAAAAGGGGGAUUUUCGAGGAGAAAAGGGGUGAUUUUUGGGUUAAAUGGGGGAUUUUUGAAAAGAAAAGGGUUGAUUUUCACUUAAAUGUCGGAUUUUCGAAGAGAAAAUGGGUGAUUUUGGGGUAAAAUGGCGGAUUUUCGAAGAGAAAAUGCGUGAUUUUUGCUUAAAUGCAUGAUUUUUUUGUUAAAUGGGGGAUUUUUGAGGAGAAAAUGCAUGAUUUACCCUUAAAUGGGGGGUUUUUGAGGAGAAAAUGCGUGAUUUUCCAAAUAAUUGGGGAUUUUUGAAGGGAAAAUGGGUGAUUUUCGGAUUAAAUGCGGGAAUUUUGAAGAGAAAAUGGGUGAUUUUGGGGUUAAAUGGGAGAUUUUUGAAGAGAGAACGGGUGAUUUUCGCUUAAAUGCGUGAUUUUUUAGCUAAAUGUUGGAUUUUUGAAGAGAAAAUGCAUGAUUUACCCUUAAAUGGGGGAUUUUCGAGGAGAAAAUGCGUGAUAUUUGCUUAAAUGGGGCAUUUUCGAAGAGAAAAUGCGUGAUUUUUGCUUAAAUGCAUGAUUUUUUUGUUAAAUGGGGGAUUUUUGAGGAGAAAAUGCAUGAUUUACCCUUAAAUGGGGGAUUUUCAAGGAGAAAAUGCGUGAUUUUCCAAAUAAUUGGAGAUUUUUGAAGGGAAAAUGGGUGAUUUUCGGAUUAAAUGGGGGAAUUUUGAAGAGAAAAUGGGUGAUUUUCGGGUUAAAUGGGGGAUUUUUGAAGAGAAAACGGGUGAUUUUUGCUUACAUGUCUGAUUUUUUAGCUAAAUGUUGGAUUUUCGAAGAGAAAAUGCAUGAUUUACCCUUAAAUGGGGGGAUUUUCGUGGAGAAAAUGGGUGAUUUUUGGGUUAAAUGGGGCAUUUUUGAAGAGAAAAUGGGUGAUUUUCGAGAUAAAUCAAGGAUUUUUGAAGAGAAAAUGCAUGAUUUACCCUUAAAUGUUGGAUUUUCAAGGUGAAAGUGCGUGAUUUUCAAAAUAAAUGAGUGAUUUUUGAAGGGAAAAUGGUUGAUUUUUGGGUUAAAUGGGGGAUUUUGAAGAGAAAAUGGGUGAUUUUCGGGUUAAAUGGGGGAUUUUCGAAGAGAAAGUGGGUGAUUAUCGAGAUAAAUCAAGGAUUUUUGAAAAGAACAUGCAUGAUUUACCCUUAAAUGGGGGAUUUUCUAGGAGAAAAUGCGUGAUUUUCAACAUAAAUGCACGAUUUUUGAAGGGAAAAUUGGCGAUUUUUGGUUUUAAUUGGGGAGUUUUGAAGAGAAAAAGGGCGAUUUUCAUUUAAAUGGGCGAUUUUCGAAGAGUAGAUUUGUGAUUUUCGUUUAAAUGGGGGAUUUUCAAAGGGAAAAUGCAUGAUUUACGGGUUAAAUUGGGGAUUUUUGAAGAGAUAAUUCGUGAUUUAAAUUUAAAUGGGGGAUUUCCGAAGAGAAAAUGCCAGAUUUUUGAGUUAAAUGGGGGGAUUUUCCAAGCGAAAAUUUGUGUUUUUCACGUUAAAUUGGGGAUUUUGGGAUUUAAAAUGUGUGAUUUUCGCUUUAAGUGGGUGAUUAAGUGGGUGAUAAGGAGAAAAAUGGUCAUUUUUGGGUUAAAUGGGGAAUUUUUGAAGAGAAAAUCGGCAAUUUUCGCUUAAAUAGGGGAUUUUCAAAGCGCAAAUGUGUGUCUUUCAGAAUAAAUUUGGGAUUUUCAAAUCAAAAAUGGAUGGUUUUCCCUUAAAUUUGGAUUUUCAAAGGGAAAAUGCAUGAUUUUCGGGUUAUAUGGGGGAUUUUCGAAGACAAAAUACGUGUUUUUCGGGUUAAAUGGGUAUUUUCGAAGAGAAAAUGUGUGAUUUUCGGGUUAAAUGGGAGAUUUUUGAAGAGAGAAGGAGUGAUUUUUGGGUUAAUUGUGGGAUUUUUGAAGAGGAAAUUCAUGACUUUCGGAUUAAAUGGGGUAUUUUCAAAGGGAAAAUGCAUGAUUUCCCGUUUAAAUGUUGGAUUUUCAAAGAGAAAUUGGGUGAUUUUCGGGUUAAAUUGGGGAUUUUCAAAGGGAAAAUGCAUUUUUUUUCGGGUUAAAUGGGGCUUUUACGUAGAGAAAAUGCAUGUUUUUCAAGUUAAAUGGGGGAUUGUCGAAGAGAAGAUUUGUUUUUUUUUAGGGGGGUUAAAUAAGGGAUUUUUGUAGAGAAAAUUCUUGAUUUGGGGGUUGAAUGAGGGAUUUUCGAAGAGAAAAUGCGUGAAUUUCAGGUUAGAUGUGGGAUUUUCAAAGAAAAUAUGCGUCAUUUUCAGGUUAAAUGGGGGAUUGUCGAAGAGAAAAUUUACUAUUUUCAGUUAAAUGUUUUUUUUUUUUUUUUUUUUUUGUAGAGAACAUGCAUAGUUUUCAAUGUUAAAUGGGGGUUUUUCGAAGACGAAAAAAGGAAAGAUGAUAUUUUCAGGUUAAAGUGCAAAUUUUUUGAAGAGGAAUUUCAUGAUUUUCUUGUGAAAUGGGGGAUUUUUGACAGUACAUGUUUC
This 4256-nucleotide long non-coding RNA is filed under the name Gallus gallus (chicken). RNAcentral describes it as "lncRNA (ENSGALG00010019840.1)". Lineage: Eukaryota; Metazoa; Chordata; Aves; Galliformes; Phasianidae. The record is from RNAcentral.